CAGCAGCCGCGGUAAUACGGAGGGUGCAAGCGUUAAUCGGAAUUACUGGGCGUAAAGCGUGCGUAGGCGGUUCGUUAAGUCUGUUGUGAAAGCCCCGGGCUCAACUUGGGAAUGGCAAUGGAUACUGGCGAGCUAGAGUGUGUCAGAGGAUGGUGGAAUUCCCGGUGUAGCGGUGAAAUGCGUAGAGAUUGGGAGGAACAUCAGUGGCGAAGACGGCCAUCUGGGACAACACUGACGCUGAGGCACGAAAGCGUGGGGAGCAAACAGGAUUAGAUACCCCAGUAGUCCCUGUCUCUUAUAC
RNAcentral lists this ribosomal RNA (301 nucleotides) under uncultured bacterium. RNAcentral's name for it is "partial 16S ribosomal RNA". It matches the Rfam family "Bacterial small subunit ribosomal RNA", at positions 509 to 807 of the family's 1533-position model. The record is from RNAcentral.